This 853-nucleotide long non-coding RNA is filed under the name Arachis ipaensis. Its description in RNAcentral is "long non-coding RNA (AIPA_LNC000856)". Lineage: Eukaryota; Viridiplantae; Streptophyta; Magnoliopsida; Fabales; Fabaceae. The record is from RNAcentral.
AGGUAGUGUGGUAUUACAGACCUUUAAUAGUAAGGAUAUACAUAUAAUACUAAAAGAAAUAAUAUACUAGGAGCCUUGAAACAGAGCGGGUAAACAAAAAUCGCAAAAUAAAAAGCGCAACGCUCAAGGAAUAGGAUUACUUGCGUGCUAAGAAACCUAAUAGGAACAUGAUAAAACAAUAAACGAAGGGAUAAAGAAAAGCCAAAGAACAACAUAACUAGCCUCUGACUCAGCCUGCGAAGCUAAGGCUGGCCGGAGGAUACAUAUAUACAUAUAAACAUACAUAAGUGUCCCCAAAAUAUACCAAAAUACCAAAGUAAACUCCUAUCUCUCCCUCAACCUCUAAGAGAAGCAGCAUACAUAAGUUACUUGGAGAGUAAGCUACACAUAUAUAUACAUAUAUACAAAUAAAAACCAAAAUACACCCAAGGACUACUUCGCUUUCCAGAAUCCAGACGCUUAGCGAGGAGCCUCUCGACCUGCAUCUGAAAAACAACAAUACAAUAUGGAAUGAGAACCGGAGGUUCUCAGCAUGGUAAAAGUGCCACGCGUAUAAGAAAAUACGGUCUUGAGAAUGCCAUAGGCAAUCCUAGAACUCCGUUAUUCAAUUAUCCAACUUAAGUACUAAACAGAAGCCAUAAACAGGGGUAGGUAUUCUAAAUCUGCCUAACUUACUCAAGUUCAAGCUUAACCUAACACCAAACCAUUUCCUCCGUUUCCUCCAUCCUUUCAUCAUUCAGAAUGCAACAGAAACAAGCAACCAAACAAGUUCACUCACAAGUAAUGAUCAAAUAGUACAAAUAGCAAGUAUAACAAAUAGCAGGUAAUAUAUAUCAAUUAGGCAUACCCAGGA